UACGUAGGUGGCAAGCGUUGUCCGGAAUUAUUGGGCGUAAAGCGCGCGCAGGCGGUCCUUUAAGUCUGAUGUGAAAGCCCACGGCUCAACCGUGGAGGGUCAUUGGAAACUGGGGGACUUGAGUACAGAAGAGAAGAGUGGAAUUCCACGUGUAGCGGUGAAAUGCGUAGAGAUGUGGAGGAACACCAGUGGCGAAGGCGACUCUUUGGUCUGUAACUGACGCUGAGGCGCGAAGGCUGGGGUAGCGAACAGG
Molecule: ribosomal RNA, 253 nt
Filed under: uncultured bacterium
Lineage: Bacteria
Description: partial 16S ribosomal RNA
Rfam family: Bacterial small subunit ribosomal RNA
Source: RNAcentral